AUUGAACGCUGGCGGCAGGCCUAACACAUGCAAGUCGGACGGUAGCACAGAGAGCUUGCUCUUGGGUGACGAGUGGCGGACGGGUGAGUAAUGUCUGGGGAUCUGCCCGAUAGAGGGGGAUAACCACUGGAAACGGUGGCUAAUACCGCAUAACGUCGCAAGACCAAAGAGGGGGACCUUCGGGCCUCUCACUAUCGGAUGAACCCAGAUGGGAUUAGCUAGUAGGCGGGGUAAUGGCCCACCUAGGCGACGAUCCCUAGCUGGUCUGAGAGGAUGACCAGCCACACUGGAACUGAGACACGGUCCAGACUCCUACGGGAGGCAGCAGUGGGGAAUAUUGCACAAUGGGCGCAAGCCUGAUGCAGCCAUGCCGCGUGUAUGAAGAAGGCCUUCGGGUUGUAAAGUACUUUCAGCGGGGAGGAAGGCGGUGCGGUUAAUAACCGUACCGGUUGACGUUACCCGCAGAAGAAGCACCGGCUAACUCCGUGCCAGCCGCCGCGGUAA
This 504-nucleotide ribosomal RNA is filed under the name uncultured bacterium. RNAcentral describes it as "partial 16S ribosomal RNA". It matches the Rfam family "Bacterial small subunit ribosomal RNA", at positions 29 to 523 of the family's 1533-position model. The record is from RNAcentral.